Molecule: ribosomal RNA, 255 nt
Filed under: uncultured bacterium
Lineage: Bacteria
Description: partial 16S ribosomal RNA
Rfam family: Bacterial small subunit ribosomal RNA
Source: RNAcentral
UACGUAGGGGGCAAGCGUUGUCCGGAAUCAUUGGGCGUAAAGAGCGCGUAGGCGGUCCGGUAAGUCCGCUCUGAAAGUCCGGGGCUCAACCCCGGGAGGCGGGCGGAUACUGUCGGGCUAGAGUCCGGAAGAGGCGAGUGGAAUUCCUGGUGUAGCGGUGAAAUGCGUAGAGAUCCGGAAGAACACCGGUGGCGAAGGCGGCCUGCUGGGCAGUUUUGCUGACACUGAGGCGCGACAGCGUGGGGAGCAAACAGG